UGUUGAACUUGAUUAAAGUGUGCAGCUUCUGUACAGGUUGGUGUAACUUUGAAGUUUUAUUGGGGCAAUAGAGGGUUAAAAUGAACACCCUUUAGUUAGUAUAAAGACCCCUUCUGAGGGUCAAAAGCAAAAGUUACCACAGGGAUAACAGCGUAAUUUUCCUUGAGAGUUCUUAUCUAGGGGAGGGUUUGCGACCUCGAUGUUGAAUUAAGGUUACUUCCACGGCGCAGCAGCUGGGAAGAGUAAGACUGUUCGUCUUUUAGGCCUU
RNAcentral lists this ribosomal RNA (268 nucleotides) under Pitar japonica. RNAcentral describes it as "partial large subunit ribosomal RNA". It matches the Rfam family "Archaeal large subunit ribosomal RNA", at positions 2169 to 2666 of the family's 2987-position model. Lineage: Eukaryota; Metazoa; Mollusca; Bivalvia; Venerida; Veneridae. The record is from RNAcentral.